RNAcentral lists this ribosomal RNA (2902 nucleotides) under Escherichia coli. Its description in RNAcentral is "23S ribosomal RNA". It matches the Rfam family "Bacterial large subunit ribosomal RNA". The record is from RNAcentral. Lineage: Bacteria; Pseudomonadati; Pseudomonadota; Gammaproteobacteria; Enterobacterales; Enterobacteriaceae.
UUAAGCGACUAAGCGUACACGGUGGAUGCCCUGGCAGUCAGAGGCGAUGAAGGACGUGCUAAUCUGCGAUAAGCGUCGGUAAGGUGAUAUGAACCGUUAUAACCGGCGAUUUCCGAAUGGGGAAACCCAGUGUGAUUCGUCACACUAUCAUUAACUGAAUCCAUAGGUUAAUGAGGCGAACCGGGGGAACUGAAACAUCUAAGUACCCCGAGGAAAAGAAAUCAACCGAGAUUCCCCCAGUAGCGGCGAGCGAACGGGGAGCAGCCCAGAGCCUGAAUCAGUGUGUGUGUUAGUGGAAGCGUCUGGAAAGGCGCGCGAUACAGGGUGACAGCCCCGUACACAAAAAUGCACAUACUGUGAGCUCGAUGAGUAGGGCGGGACACGUGGUAUCCUGUCUGAAUAUGGGGGGACCAUCCUCCAAGGCUAAAUACUCCUGACUGACCGAUAGUGAACCAGUACCGUGAGGGAAAGGCGAAAAGAACCCCGGCGAGGGGAGUGAAAAAGAACCUGAAACCGUGUACGUACAAGCAGUGGGAGCACAGAGCAAUCUGUGUGACUGCGUACCUUUUGUAUAAUGGGUCAGCGACUUAUAUUCUGUAGCAAGGUUAACCGAAUAGGGGAGCCGAAGGGAAACCGAGUCUUAACUGGGCGUUAAGUUGCAGGGUAUAGACCCGAAACCCGGUGAUCUAGCCAUGGGCAGGUUGAAGGUUGGGUAACACUAACUGGAGGACCGAACCGACUAAUGUUGAAAAAUUAGCGGAUGACUUGUGGCUGGGGGUGAAAGGCCAAUCAAACCGGGAGAUAGCUGGUUCUCCCCGAAAGCUAUUUAGGUAGCGCCUCGUGAAUUCAUCUCCGGGGGUAGAGCACUGUUUCGGCAAGGGGGUCAUCCCGACUUACCAACCCGAUGCAAACUGCGAAUACCGGAGAAUGUUAUCACGGGAGACACACGGCGGGUGCUAACGUCCGUCGUGAAGAGGGAAACAACCCAGACCGCCAGCUAAGGUCCCAAAGUCAUGGUUAAGUGGGAAACGAUGUGGGAAGGCCCAGACAGCCAGGAUGUUGGCUUAGAAGCAGCCAUCAUUUAAAGAAAGCGUAAUAGCUCACUGGUCGAGUCGGCCUGCGCGGAAGAUGUAACGGGGCUAAACCAUGCACCGAAGCUGCGGCAGCGACGCUUAUGCGUUGUUGGGUAGGGGAGCGUUCUGUAAGCCUGCGAAGGUGUGCUGUGAGGCAUGCUGGAGGUAUCAGAAGUGCGAAUGCUGACAUAAGUAACGAUAAAGCGGGUGAAAAGCCCGCUCGCCGGAAGACCAAGGGUUCCUGUCCAACGUUAAUCGGGGCAGGGUGAGUCGACCCCUAAGGCGAGGCCGAAAGGCGUAGUCGAUGGGAAACAGGUUAAUAUUCCUGUACUUGGUGUUACUGCGAAGGGGGGACGGAGAAGGCUAUGUUGGCCGGGCGACGGUUGUCCCGGUUUAAGCGUGUAGGCUGGUUUUCCAGGCAAAUCCGGAAAAUCAAGGCUGAGGCGUGAUGACGAGGCACUACGGUGCUGAAGCAACAAAUGCCCUGCUUCCAGGAAAAGCCUCUAAGCAUCAGGUAACAUCAAAUCGUACCCCAAACCGACACAGGUGGUCAGGUAGAGAAUACCAAGGCGCUUGAGAGAACUCGGGUGAAGGAACUAGGCAAAAUGGUGCCGUAACUUCGGGAGAAGGCACGCUGAUAUGUAGGUGAAGCGACUUGCUCGUGGAGCUGAAAUCAGUCGAAGAUACCAGCUGGCUGCAACUGUUUAUUAAAAACACAGCACUGUGCAAACACGAAAGUGGACGUAUACGGUGUGACGCCUGCCCGGUGCCGGAAGGUUAAUUGAUGGGGUCAGCGCAAGCGAAGCUCUUGAUCGAAGCCCCGGUAAACGGCGGCCGUAACUAUAACGGUCCUAAGGUAGCGAAAUUCCUUGUCGGGUAAGUUCCGACCUGCACGAAUGGCGUAAUGAUGGCCAGGCUGUCUCCACCCGAGACUCAGUGAAAUUGAACUCGCUGUGAAGAUGCAGUGUACCCGCGGCAAGACGGAAAGACCCCGUGAACCUUUACUAUAGCUUGACACUGAACAUUGAGCCUUGAUGUGUAGGAUAGGUGGGAGGCUUUGAAGUGUGGACGCCAGUCUGCAUGGAGCCGACCUUGAAAUACCACCCUUUAAUGUUUGAUGUUCUAACGUGACCCGUAAUCCGGGUUGCGGACAGUGUCUGGUGGGUAGUUUGACUGGGGCGGUCUCCUCCUAAAGAGUAACGGAGGAGCACGAAGGUUGGCUAAUCCUGGUCGGACAUCAGGAGGUUAGUGCAAUGGCAUAAGCCAGCUUGACUGCGAGCGUGACGGCGCGAGCAGGUGCGAAAGCAGGUCAUAGUGAUCCGGUGGUUCUGAAUGGAAGGGCCAUCGCUCAACGGAUAAAAGGUACUCCGGGGAUAACAGGCUGAUACCGCCCAAGAGUUCAUAUCGACGGCGGUGUUUGGCACCUCGAUGUCGGCUCAUCACAUCCUGGGGCUGAAGUAGGUCCCAAGGGUAUGGCUGUUCGCCAUUUAAAGUGGUACGCGAGCUGGGUUUAGAACGUCGUGAGACAGUUCGGUCCCUAUCUGCCGUGGGCGCUGGAGAACUGAGGGGGGCUGCUCCUAGUACGAGAGGACCGGAGUGGACGCAUCACUGGUGUUCGGGUUGUCAUGCCAAUGGCACUGCCCGGUAGCUAAAUGCGGAAGAGAUAAGUGCUGAAAGCAUCUAAGCACGAAACUUGCCCCGAGAUGAGUUCUCCCUGACUCCUUGAGAGUCCUGAAGGAACGUUGAAGACGACGACGUUGAUAGGCCGGGUGUGUAAGCGCAGCGAUGCGUUGAGCUAACCGGUACUAAUGAACCGUGAGGCUUAACCU